UCAAAUAAUAUUCAUUACAUGGUGUUAGUCGCUAAAGAAAUUCAGUUGCUUUUUUAAAGUGUUAUGUGAGUGUCCCACGCUGCUGUAUUUUCGAAGUUCAACUAGACGUCGCCGUCAUUCAUUAUGGUACGUACAUAUAAAAGACGUACAAAUAGAGGUGCUUAUGAUAAAAAUCAACUAUCUUAAGCCGUAGUAGCAGUGCGUAAUGGCACCCUUAAGUGGUUACAAAGCUGCAAAAGUAUACAAAAUUCUAAGAAUGAGAAUAAUGGACCACGUACAUAAAAAAGAAGCUCCAAUAUGAUUGGGAGGAAAACCACCCUUAUCUUCCGAAGUUGAAAUGAAUUUUGCAUCCUGUCUUCAUAUUAUGGAAACAUGGCUUUAUGUUGUAAAAGUAUAAAAAGGAUUAAACUAUCUUUUAGAUUUUCUUUUACGUUGAUUGUAUUCGUGUACUAAAACUAGUACUUACAGUACCCGGCAAUUAAUACAAUUAAUGUUUUUGCUUUUUUUUAUUCAUCGACAGGCUCGCGUUUGACCGCUAUCUCGCUCUGAUGUUAAGCGAAGAUUUUUUUUGUUUUUUAUAUUGUUUAUCUUUGAUACUUCUCAUUUUAUGUUUAGUAGAUUUUAUAGAUACUAUGAUGAGACCGAUUGUUAACUUUAUUAAGACUAAAAUACAAUUUGAUUUUGAUAAGUUUUAAGUCUGUUAUUGAAUUAAAACGAUUUACGAUACCA
This is a long non-coding RNA of Melitaea cinxia (Glanville fritillary), 729 nucleotides long. RefSeq lists it as uncharacterized. The transcript is spliced from 2 exons. Lineage: Eukaryota; Metazoa; Arthropoda; Insecta; Lepidoptera; Nymphalidae. The record is from RefSeq and is a predicted model, not a curated record.